UAAGACGAACCGUGCGAACGUUGUUCGGAAUCACUGGGCUUAAAGGGCGCGUAGGCGGCCCGCCGCGUCCGGGGUGAAAGCCCACGGCUCAACCGUGGAACGGCCCCGGGUACGGGCGGGCUGGAGGGGAGUAGGGGCGUGCGGAACUGUGCGUGGAGCGGUGAAAUGCGUUGAUAUGCACAGGAACUCCGGUGGCGAAGGCGGCACGCUGGGCUCUUUCUGACGCUGAGGCGCGAAAGCCAGGGGAGCGAACGGGAUUAGAUACCCCGGUAGUCCUGGCCCUAAACGAUGAACACUGGGUAGCGGCCCGGGCAUGGGGCCGCUGCCGCAGCCAAAGUGCUAAGUGUUCCGCCUGGGGAGUAUGGCCGCAAGGCUG
This 376-nucleotide ribosomal RNA is filed under the name uncultured bacterium. Its description in RNAcentral is "bacterial SSU rRNA". It matches the Rfam family "Bacterial small subunit ribosomal RNA", at positions 521 to 896 of the family's 1533-position model. The record is from RNAcentral.